GAUGAACGCUAGCUACAGGCUUAACACAUGCAAGUCGAGGGGCAGCAUGACGAUAGCUUGCUAUUGUUGAUGGCGACCGGCGCACGGGUGAGUAACGCGUAUCCAACCUGCCCUUGUCCACCGGAUAACCCGUCGAAAGGCGGACUAACACGGUAUGCAGUCCACAGCAGACAUCUAACGUGGACGAAAUGUGAAGGAGAAGGAUGGGGAUGCGUCUGAUUAGCUUGUUGGCGGGGUAACGGCCCACCAAGGCGACGAUCAGUAGGGGUUCUGAGAGGAAGGUCCCCCACAUUGGAACUGAUACACGGUCCAAACUCCUACGGGAGGCAGCAGUAGGGAAUAUUGGUCAAUGGGCGAGAGCCUGAACCAGCCAAGUAGCGUGCAGGAAGACGGCCCUAUGGGUUGUAAACUGCUUUUAUACGGGGAUAAAGUGAGUCACGUGUGGCUUAUUGCAGGUACCGUAUGAAUAAGGACCGGCUAAUUCCGUGCCAGCCGCCGCCGUAA
RNAcentral lists this ribosomal RNA (504 nucleotides) under uncultured bacterium. Its description in RNAcentral is "partial 16S ribosomal RNA". It matches the Rfam family "Bacterial small subunit ribosomal RNA", at positions 28 to 523 of the family's 1533-position model. The record is from RNAcentral.